UCUAGCACUGAAAACAUAAGCUACAGCUAGCUAGCACUGCAAUGCAUAAAAUGUGGUGAGUAGUUGACUCAAAGAGAAAGACAAUAGUUGAACAGUUUUGAGCAAAUAUAUUUAUUCCAAAAUGAAGGAGAAGCAAGAGAGAAAUAGAGAGAUUUUGUAAAUGUUUUCACUUCCAGUUUCACUUUCUUAGUUAGCAAAUGCAGCUAGCUAGUUUAGCCUACUGAAACAUCCUGCUCAAACAGAGGUAGUAUUAUGACUUUCCAACACAACACUGGAACUCUUCCAAGUCAAGGGGAUGAAUCCAGCCUUUGUUGUCAGGGCCGGCAAUUCAUAUGGGAACCCGGACACUGUACUGAGGACUCAGAUCCCCGCCACAGGCUCCUAACAACAACGCCUCAACAGAGAUCCAAACCAAAAACCACAGCACUGACAUAACUCCAAAGUCAUCUGUCGUUACACAAAAGCACCUUACAGGUAAGGUAGAAUGUUUUUUCUUUCUUUCUCCCAACAGAGCAUACAGUAUAUUAUCUAUGGGGGAAUUGAAUAAAGGCUUUGGAUUUAGGCCAGAAAGUGUAUUGCUGUGUUUUUUAUUCUUCAGUAUUACUUUAGUGCCUUGUUGCAUUACAGGAUGCUUUUUUGUUGUUGUUGUACAUUUGUAUUCUUCUUUUCACGCUGUCAUUUAGGUCACUAUUGUGGAGUCACUACAAUGUUGUUGAUCCAUCCAUAUGGAUCAUUUCGUGUAGAUCAACAACAACAAAAAUCACAAUUAAAUCUAUUUCAAUACCACUUUGUCAUGCAGCAAAAUGUGAACCAAUCCAAGGGGGGUGAAUACGUAUAAUACCUACUGUAGCUAACUUUUCCUCUUUUUCAACAAAGGUUCACAAUAACUAUACCGGUACAUAGUUUCCACAAUUACAUUAGCUUGUACUCUCAUCAUAAGGCUUCCCUGAAACGUUAACAAAC
This is a long non-coding RNA of Oncorhynchus nerka (sockeye salmon), 963 nucleotides long. RefSeq lists it as uncharacterized. The transcript is spliced from 3 exons. Lineage: Eukaryota; Metazoa; Chordata; Actinopteri; Salmoniformes; Salmonidae. The record is from RefSeq and is a predicted model, not a curated record.